CAUAUACUCCCUCCGUUCCUAAAUAUAAGUCUUUUUAGAGAUUACACUAUGAACUACAUACGGAUGUAUAUAGACAUAUUUUAGAGUGUAGAUUCACUUAUUUUGUUCCGUAUGUAGUCCCUAGUGGAAUCUCUAAAAAGACUUAUAUUUAGGAACGGAGGGAGUACAUU
Non-coding RNA from Triticum aestivum (bread wheat), 170 nucleotides. The record is from Rfam. NCBI's taxonomy places the organism in Eukaryota, Viridiplantae, Streptophyta, Magnoliopsida, Poales, Poaceae.